UUCCUACGGGGGGCUGCAGUAGGGAAUAUUGGACAAUGGGCGAAAGCCUGAUCCAGCAAUGCCGCGUGAGUGAUGAAGGCCUUAGGGUUGUAAAGCUCUUUUACCAGGGAUGAUAAUGACAGUACCUGGAGAAUAAGCUCCGGCUAACUCCGUGCCAGCAGCCGCGGUAAUACGGAGGGAGCUAGCGUUGUUCGGAAUUACUGGGCGUAAAGCGCGCGUAGGCGGCGAUUUAAGUCAGAGGUGAAAGCCCGGGGCUCAACCCCGGAAUUGCCUUUGAAACUGGAAAGCUAGAAUCUUGGAGAGGUCAGUGGAAUUCCGAGUGUAGAGGUGAAAUUCGUAGAUAUUCGGAAGAACACCAGUGGCGAAGGCGACUGACUGGACAAGUAUUGACGCUGAGGUGCGAAAGCGUGGGGAGCAAACAGGAUUAGAUACCCGAGUAGUCCU
This 444-nucleotide ribosomal RNA is filed under the name uncultured Sphingomonadales bacterium. RNAcentral describes it as "bacterial SSU rRNA". It matches the Rfam family "Bacterial small subunit ribosomal RNA", at positions 336 to 797 of the family's 1533-position model. The record is from RNAcentral. Lineage: Bacteria; Pseudomonadati; Pseudomonadota; Alphaproteobacteria; Sphingomonadales.